AGAGACUUUUCAAAUUGAGUGUCCCAUCAAAAGAACAUUUUCCUGACAAUGGACCAUGGGAGAUGCCCACCUACACUUAAUGGAAUUUUCCUGCAAACA
Molecule: long non-coding RNA, 99 nt
Organism: Chelonia mydas (Green sea turtle)
Lineage: Eukaryota; Metazoa; Chordata; Testudines; Cheloniidae
Exons: 3
Source: RefSeq, a predicted model, not a curated record